CAGCAGCCACGGGAAUACAGAGGGUGCGAGCGUUAAUCGGAUUUACUGGGCGUAAAGCGUGCGUAGGCGGCUUCUUAAGUCGGAUGUGAAAUCCCUGAGCUUAACUUAGGAAUUGCAUUCGAUACUGGGAAGCUAGAGUAUGGGAGAGGAUGGUAGAAUUCCAGGUGUAGCGGUGAAAUGCGUAGAGAUCUGGAGGAAUACCGAUGGCGAAGGCAGCCAUCUGGCCUAAUACUGACGCUGAGGUACGAAGGCAUGGGGAGCAAACAGGAUUAGAUACCCCUGUAGUCCCUGUCUCUUAUAC
Molecule: ribosomal RNA, 301 nt
Filed under: uncultured bacterium
Lineage: Bacteria
Description: partial 16S ribosomal RNA
Rfam family: Bacterial small subunit ribosomal RNA
Source: RNAcentral